RNAcentral lists this long non-coding RNA (679 nucleotides) under Calidris pugnax (ruff). RNAcentral describes it as "lncRNA (ENSCPUG00000011733.1)". Lineage: Eukaryota; Metazoa; Chordata; Aves; Charadriiformes; Scolopacidae. The record is from RNAcentral.
GGCUGUACUGGUGCCCCAUUAUGGCACCUCCACCCCAGCAGGAGAAGGGCUGGAGGCAAACAACACAUUCCUCCUCUUCCCCAUCACAUCCCUCUCUCUUCCCUGCAAAGCAGCAGAGCAGAAUUGGCUGCCUUAUCUGCAGCUGUUGGGUCCCAGCAGAGACAUGUGCUCGAAAAAGGAGUGCUCUGUGUUAAAAAGUAAUUCUGCAAGACGGAGAAGGUUCCCAGGAUUAAAGCUCCCAGUCACUAUGGAAAAUACCUCUUACAUAAAUGUUAUCUGCUUUGUGGAGAAAAAAAACCCCAAAAGAUCAUAAAGUUUCAGCAAAUCUAUGCCAGCCUUAAUGGAAAGAUGGAUGGCAUUUUCAGCUCUGUUUGUGCUCUCCCAUGCAAGACCAGCACUGGAAAAUACCCAGUGGUACCGCUGGCACGGGAUGCUGUCCUCUAGCCAGGACAAAGGUGUAGAUGGAGGAUCGAUAAGAAUUGAUGCCCUGUUUCUUCUCACUGAGCUUCCACGUUCAGAAGUGUUCUCCAGGGACUCCAGAGAAGUACAACCCAUGGCUGGAGGCUGGAGUGGGAGCAGCGGGCUAAGAGAAAAUGAUGGCCAGCUCCCACCAAGUUUGGCUCACGAAAAUUGUCCACAAUUAACGAACAAGAUCGUGUCUCCAUUUUACCACUGCUAA